Cebus imitator (Panamanian white-faced capuchin) is the source of this 151-nucleotide small nuclear RNA. Its record names the gene U12. It matches the Rfam family "U12 minor spliceosomal RNA". From Rfam's summary of the family: Although the U12 sequence is very divergent from that of U2, the two are functionally analogous. The record is from Ensembl. NCBI's taxonomy places the organism in Eukaryota, Metazoa, Chordata, Mammalia, Primates, Cebidae.
AUGCCUUAAACUUAAUGAUUAAGGAAAAUAAUGAUUCAGGGUGAUGCCUGAAUCCUCACUGCUAAUGUGAGACGAAUUUUUGAGUGGGUAAAGGUCGCCCCUGAGGUGACCUGCCUACUUUGCAGGAUGCCUGGGAGCCAAGAUCUGCCUG